Long non-coding RNA from Mastomys coucha (southern multimammate mouse), 1315 nucleotides. RefSeq lists it as uncharacterized. The transcript has 3 exons. The record is from RefSeq and is a predicted model, not a curated record. Lineage: Eukaryota; Metazoa; Chordata; Mammalia; Rodentia; Muridae.
CGGAGGCGCGGAGGGCGAACGGCGCGGGGGCGGGGGCGGCCAGGGACGGGGCGGCAGCCACUUCGCGCUGGUCCUCUCCCUCGUGGCUUAGGAGGCCGCGCCCGCCCGCUCUGCGGGCCGGGCCCGGCAGCACGGCUCUCGGGACAGCCGGGGCGGGAUGCAGCUCAGCUUCAGCUGCUGCGCCGGAGCAGGCGGCGGGUUCCUAUGGCAACGGCUGCGUCACUGGCCCUCGCCCCGCCCCCCGUACCCGCGUGGACCACGCGGCCAGCGCGCAAAGCAAAGCGUGUCUUAGGGCAGAGAACUAGGGUCUGAGGGCCUGACAACGCCGAAAGGAGGUCUGCAGGUGCCUGGAGAAGCCAGAAGAGGGUGCUAAAGUUACGAGAAAAUCUGACCCACCCACCAUGAGCACCCAGAACCAAGAGCCCGUCGUGGGGUAGACGCAAAAUCUGCUCAGCUUACCAUGCGCAGGGUGGAGAGCCCGCCCCCCAGCAGCCAGAAGAGGUAGAAGAGGGCAUGAAGGUGGAUGUUAUAGGUGAUGAACAGGACUACACAGUGCCCGAAGAGGCCGUAGCCCUGGAGAGGGUGAGAGAGCACCAUCACUUGGCUGGACAGGCCCUUGGCCCGGAGCUGGGUCUUUUAGCUUGCUGCUGCCUCCCACCCCGGGUCCGCCCCCUGCUCCUUCCACCCCGGGUGCGCCCCCUGCUCCUCCCACCCCGGGUCCGCCCCCUGCUCCUCCCACCCCGGGUCCGCCCCCUGCUCCUCCCACCCCAGGUCCACAGAUGGCAGAGAGCAGCAGACCUUCUCAGCCACCCCCAGGCUCGGCUCCUUACCAACAGUGCCAACAUCUGGAGCAUGGUGAUCUGGGCAUUACACAGGUAGGCGAGGAAAUAAAUGAAGGACGAGACGCCAAGCCAGUAUCCGAAGCAGGUGCCUAUGGCUGUGCCCAUGAGGGUGCCCUCCCGCUGUGGAGAGAGAGCCCUGACCUCAGCCUUACCCAGGGCCUUUUGUGCAGGGUUGCUCUUGCCUCCCUCUACCAGCCACCGUCUUCCCCAAGGCCUGGGUCCUGCUUACGAUAAUGGUGUCAGAAGUCUUCAUCCCGUGCAGGAGGAUGGCAACCAGUGUGAAGACCAGCAUGAGGGGUCCGUAGAGCUCGCCUGCGACUUUCUGUUGAUACAGUAACUCAUUCACUAGAGACUGCAACCCAGGCCUAGCUUGGUGGCCUCCCUCCCCCUGCUCAAAGUCACCCUCCUCACCUGGGGGAAGCUGACCAUCUUGAUAGGGAUCAUGGACUCCAGGAGCCUGGGAGAGGAGAGGG